AAGAACUUGCCUAAUUAGUGACACAACCUGGUUAAUAGGAUAAUCUGGCAGGACACACAUCAAUUUCUCUCUCAGUUUAGGAGGACCAUCCUAAGAGUAGGGUUCACUGUUAAAGGCAAGAGAGAAAGAU
This is a non-coding RNA of Carlito syrichta (Philippine tarsier), 130 nucleotides long. NCBI's taxonomy places the organism in Eukaryota, Metazoa, Chordata, Mammalia, Primates, Tarsiidae. The record is from Ensembl.